RNAcentral lists this long non-coding RNA (774 nucleotides) under Oryza sativa (Asian cultivated rice). RNAcentral's name for it is "long non-coding RNA (OSAT_LNC001731)". Lineage: Eukaryota; Viridiplantae; Streptophyta; Magnoliopsida; Poales; Poaceae. The record is from RNAcentral.
CUGUAUAUAUAUGUCUCCUCUCCCAGCGGGACCCACAUGAGGAGAUAAGGCCGGCCGGCUCCCUCUUCUCCACUUCUCUAUCUCUUCCACUUCUUCUCUCUAUCUCUCCUCUCUUUCUCUGUGCCGUGGCGAGGGGAGGCGCGGCGGCGCCGAGCCAGCGGGGACGGCGGCGGCGGCCCGGCCGCCAGAUUCGGCAGGGGCGGGAGGGGAGGCGCGGCGGCGCCGAGCCGGCGAGGGCGGCGGCGGCGGCCCGGCCGCCAGAUCCGGCAGGGGCGGGUGGGGAGGCGCGGCGGCGGUCCGGCCGCCAGAUCCGGCAGGGGCGAGGGGAGGCGCGGUGGCGGACGACGGAUCUGGAGCCGUGGCGCGGUGGCGGCCGACGGUGGGAGGGGAGGCGGCCGAGGCCCGACGGCGGCAGCGGUCUCCACCUCCGCCGCCUCUACCGGUGACGCCUCCAGCCGCGCCUCCGCCUCCGCCCUCUGCCAGCAAGUUCUCUUUCACCCAUGUAUUUUGUCUUGUGUUGUUCAUAUUGUUCCAAUUGUUGCUACUGUGAUUGAUGAUUCUGAGUCCUAUGGUGAUUGAGAUUCUUGUGAUUUUGUUUUGUGAUUGGGACAACUGCGAUGAAACAAAGAAGAAUUGUGACAAUUUUUUUGAUUUGUGAAUGCCAAAUGCAAUCGGUCUAAAUGAAUGUGAUGGUAACCUAUGAGGACGGUGUUUCUCUUUUUUUUUCCCUUUUUUUCACACCAGUGACGGCCCCAAUUAGUUAGGCCAUUUGAG